AGCUUAAAAGGUGGAAUGUGGAAGUCUUUGGAAAUGUUUUUAAGAAAAAGGAGAAACUUCUGAGUUGAAUUUAUAAUAUCGAGAGAAUUCUAGAUUCUAGGCCUUCUGUGAUAGUUGUUGAGCUUUUAAAUAGUCUCAAAAUUGAGUUGGAUGUCAUUAUUUAGAAAGAAGAGUUGAUUUGGUAUCCAAAAAGUAGAAGUAACUGGGUUCAGUUUGG
RNAcentral lists this unclassified non-coding RNA (217 nucleotides) under Hevea brasiliensis (rubber tree). Lineage: Eukaryota; Viridiplantae; Streptophyta; Magnoliopsida; Malpighiales; Euphorbiaceae. The record is from RNAcentral.